GAUGAACGCUGGCGGCGUGCCUAAUACAUGCAAGUCGAGCGAACAGACGAGGAGCUUGCUCCUCUGACGUUAGCGGCGGACGGGUGAGUAACACGUGGAUAACCUACCUAUAAGACUGGGAUAACUUCGGGAAACCGGAGCUAAUACCGGAUAAUAUAUUGAACCGCAUGGUUCAAUAGUGAAAGACGGUUUUGCUGUCACUUAUAGAUGGAUCCGCGCCGCAUUAGCUAGUUGGUAAGGUAACGGCUUACCAAGGCGACGAUGCGUAGCCGACCUGAGAGGGUGAUCGGCCACACUGGAACUGAGACACGGUCCAGACUCCUACGGGAGGCAGCAGUAGGGAAUCUUCCGCAAUGGGCGAAAGCCUGACGGAGCAACGCCGCGUGAGUGAUGAAGUUCUUCGGAUCGUAAAACUCUGUUAUUAGGGAAGAACAAAUGUGUAAGUAACUAUGCACGUCUUGACGGUACCUAAUCAGAAAGCCACGGCUAACUACGUG
Molecule: ribosomal RNA, 497 nt
Filed under: uncultured bacterium
Lineage: Bacteria
Description: partial 16S ribosomal RNA
Rfam family: Bacterial small subunit ribosomal RNA
Source: RNAcentral